CCCUUAGAUGUUCUGGGCCGCACGCGCGCUACACUGACGAAUGCAACGAGCUUAUAACCUUGGCCGAAAGGUCUGGGUAAUCUCCAAAUUUCGUCGUGAUGGGGAUAGAUUAUUGCAAUUAUUAAUCUUCAACGAGGAAUGCCUAGUAAGCGCAAGUCAUCAGCUUGCGUUGAUUACGUCCCUGCCCUUUGUACACACCGCCCGUCGCUCCUACCGAUUGCAUGGUCCGGUGAAGCGUUCGGACCGUGGCCUUUGGACGGUUCGCCGUCUGUUGGCUGCGGGAAGUUCGUUAAACCUUAUCAUUUAGAGGAAGGAGAAGUCGUAACA
Molecule: ribosomal RNA, 327 nt
Filed under: uncultured eukaryote
Lineage: Eukaryota
Description: partial 18S ribosomal RNA
Rfam family: Eukaryotic small subunit ribosomal RNA
Source: RNAcentral